Long non-coding RNA from Octodon degus (degu), 409 nucleotides. RefSeq lists it as uncharacterized. The record is from RefSeq and is a predicted model, not a curated record. The transcript is spliced from 3 exons. Lineage: Eukaryota; Metazoa; Chordata; Mammalia; Rodentia; Octodontidae.
UUAUGCAGACUGAGAGGCUGCGCUGGCCUGGGCAGUGGAGGCUGUGUCCCUGGCUUGGCUCCCAACGGGUGGGAAUUACCCAACAUGCACUCUGGACCCUGUGACAUGUUCCCUUGAACCUUGCUGUGAUUGCUAAAUCCCAGCUUCCACUCCCUCUGUCACUUGAUGCCUUCACCCAGUGGCUCUAACCCCACCCAACCCCACAUCUGCACCUACCAGGCCACUUUAUGAGCUGUACUACCUCUGCUUUGGGCUGCAGACCAUACCGGAGCUCAGAGAGCCCAAUGCCAGGAAGGAUUGUGAUUUGGGGCUGAAACUCCCAGGCACAAACCCUUUUUCUAGGGAUUCGUAUGGUUACCCUGAGUGCUGGCGAGGCUGGUGGGUUAGAGAGCCUGGCUGUCCCCAACAC